Callithrix jacchus (white-tufted-ear marmoset) is the source of this 110-nucleotide Y RNA. It matches the Rfam family "Y RNA". From Rfam's summary of the family: Y RNAs are components of the Ro ribonucleoprotein particle (Ro RNP), in association with Ro60 and La proteins. The record is from Ensembl. NCBI's taxonomy places the organism in Eukaryota, Metazoa, Chordata, Mammalia, Primates, Cebidae.
AGCUGUUCUGAAGGUAGUGAGUUAUCCCGAUGGAUUGUUCAGUCAGUUACAGAUUGAACUCCUUGUUCUUUCUUUCCCCCUUUCUCACUGUUGCACUUGACUAGUCUUAA